This 1050-nucleotide ribosomal RNA is filed under the name Oerskovia sp. CON39-30. Its description in RNAcentral is "bacterial SSU rRNA". It matches the Rfam family "Bacterial small subunit ribosomal RNA", at positions 371 to 1433 of the family's 1533-position model. The record is from RNAcentral. Lineage: Bacteria; Bacillati; Actinomycetota; Actinomycetes; Micrococcales; Cellulomonadaceae.
AUGGGCGAAAGCCUGAUGCAGCGACGCCGCGUGAGGGAUGAAGGCCUUCGGGUUGUAAACCUCUUUCAGCAGGGAAGAAGCGCAAGUGACGGUACCUGCAGAAGAAGCGCCGGCUAACUACGUGCCAGCAGCCGCGGUAAUACGUAGGGCGCAAGCGUUGUCCGGAAUUAUUGGGCGUAAAGAGCUCGUAGGCGGUUUGUCGCGUCUGGUGUGAAAACUCAAGGCUCAACCUUGAGCUUGCAUCGGGUACGGGCAGACUAGAGUGCGGUAGGGGUGACUGGAAUUCCUGGUGUAGCGGUGGAAUGCGCAGAUAUCAGGAGGAACACCGAUGGCGAAGGCAGGUCACUGGGCCGCAACUGACGCUGAGGAGCGAAAGCAUGGGGAGCGAACAGGAUUAGAUACCCUGGUAGUCCAUGCCGUAAACGUUGGGCACUAGGUGUGGGGCUCAUUCCACGAGUUCCGUGCCGCAGCAAACGCAUUAAGUGCCCCGCCUGGGGAGUACGGCCGCAAGGCUAAAACUCAAAGGAAUUGACGGGGGCCCGCACAAGCGGCGGAGCAUGCGGAUUAAUUCGAUGCAACGCGAAGAACCUUACCAAGGCUUGACAUACACCGGAAACUUCCAGAGAUGGUUGCCCCGCAAGGUCGGUGUACAGGUGGUGCAUGGUUGUCGUCAGCUCGUGUCGUGAGAUGUUGGGUUAAGUCCCGCAACGAGCGCAACCCUCGUCUUAUGUUGCCAGCACGUGAUGGUGGGGACUCAUAAGAGACUGCCGGGGUCAACUCGGAGGAAGGUGGGGAUGACGUCAAAUCAUCAUGCCCCUUAUGUCUUGGGCUUCACGCAUGCUACAAUGGCCGGUACAAAGGGCUGCGAUACCGCGAGGUGGAGCGAAUCCCAAAAAGCCGGUCUCAGUUCGGAUUGGGGUCUGCAACUCGACCCCAUGAAGUCGGAGUCGCUAGUAAUCGCAGAUCAGCAACGCUGCGGUGAAUACGUUCCCGGGCCUUGUACACACCGCCCGUCAAGUCACGAAAGUCGGUAACACCCGAAGCCGGUGG